This 497-nucleotide ribosomal RNA is filed under the name uncultured bacterium. Its description in RNAcentral is "partial 16S ribosomal RNA". It matches the Rfam family "Bacterial small subunit ribosomal RNA", at positions 28 to 507 of the family's 1533-position model. The record is from RNAcentral.
GAUGAACGCUGGCGGCGUGCCUAAUACAUGCAAGUCGAGCGAACAGACGAGGAGCUUGCUCCUCUGACGUUAGCGGCGGACGGGUGAGUAACACGUGGAUAACCUACCUAUAAGACUGGGAUAACUUUGGGAAACCGGAGCUAAUACCGGAUAAUAUAUUGAACCGCAUGGUUCAAUAGUGAAAGACGGUUUUGCUGUCACUUAUAGAUGGAUCCGCGCCGCAUUAGCUAGUUGGUAAGGUAACGGCUUACCAAGGCGACGAUGCGUAGCCGACCUGAGAGGGUGAACGGCCACACUGGAACUGAGACACGGUCCAGACUCCUACGGGAGGCAGCAGUAGGGAAUCUUCCGCAAUGGGCGAAAGCCUGACGGAGCAACGCCGCGUGAGUGAUGAAGGUCUUCGGAUCGUAAAACUCUGUUAUUAGGGAAGAACAAAUGUGUAAGUAACUAUGCACGUCUUGACGGUACCUAAUCAGAAAGCCACGGCUAACUACGUG